Physeter macrocephalus (sperm whale) is the source of this 129-nucleotide small nucleolar RNA. Lineage: Eukaryota; Metazoa; Chordata; Mammalia; Artiodactyla; Physeteridae. The record is from Ensembl.
GUUGAAGCCUAACCUGAUGGGGCUUUUUCUGUAAACCAACAUUGUUGGAAAUGCCUCCGAGUAACUGCGUAUUUUCCUUUACUCAUAGAACUACCUGUUAGAUCUGUGGGAAAGAACUACAAGACAGAG